UGAGAACCAGAGUUCCAAAGCCAGCAC
Molecule: non-coding RNA, 27 nt
Filed under: Mus musculus (house mouse)
Lineage: Eukaryota; Metazoa; Chordata; Mammalia; Rodentia; Muridae
Source: RNAcentral